RNAcentral lists this ribosomal RNA (1704 nucleotides) under Drosophila sechellia. Its description in RNAcentral is "eukaryotic LSU rRNA". It matches the Rfam family "Eukaryotic large subunit ribosomal RNA", at positions 1519 to 2929 of the family's 3401-position model. Lineage: Eukaryota; Metazoa; Arthropoda; Insecta; Diptera; Drosophilidae. The record is from RNAcentral.
AGUGGUUGAUCACGAGUUAGUCGGUCCUAAGUUCAAGGCGAAAGCCGAAAAUUUUCAAGUAAAACAAAAAUGCCUAACUAUAUAAACAAAGCGAAUAUAAUACACUUGAAUAAUUUUGAACGAAAGGGAAUACGGUUCCAAUUCCGUAACCUGUUGAGUAUCCGUUUGUUAUUAAAUAUGGGCCUCGUGCUCAUCCUGGCAACAGGAACGACCAUAAAGAAGCCGUCGAGAGAUAUCGGAAGAGUUUUCUUUUCUGUUUUAUAGCCGUACUACCAUGGAAGUCUUUCGCAGAGAGAUAUGGUAGAUGGGCUAGAAGAGCAUGACAUAUACUGUUGUGUCGAUAUUUUCUCCUCGGACCUUGAAAAUUUAUGGUGGGGACACGCAAACUUCUCAACAGGCCGUACCAAUAUCCGCAGCUGGUCUCCAAGGUGAAGAGUCUCUAGUCGAUAGAAUAAUGUAGGUAAGGGAAGUCGGCAAAUUAGAUCCGUAACUUCGGGAUAAGGAUUGGCUCUGAAGAUUGAGAUAGUCGGGCUUGAUUGGGAAACAAUAACAUGGUUUAUGUGCUCGUUCUGGGUAAAUAGAGUUUCUAGCAUUUAUGUUAGUUACUUGUUCCCCGGAUAGUUUAGUUACGUAGCCAAUUGUGGAACUUUCUUGCUAAAAUUUUUAAGAAUACUAUUUGGGUUAAACCAAUUAGUUCUUAUCAAUUAUAACGAUUAUCAAUUAACAAUCAAUUCAGAACUGGCACGGACUUGGGGAAUCCGACUGUCUAAUUAAAACAAAGCAUUGUGAUGGCCCUAGCGGGUGUUGACACAAUGUGAUUUCUGCCCAGUGCUCUGAAUGUCAAAGUGAAGAAAUUCAAGUAAGCGCGGGUCAACGGCGGGAGUAACUAUGACUCUCUUAAGGUAGCCAAAUGCCUCGUCAUCUAAUUAGUGACGCGCAUGAAUGGGAUUAACGAGAUUCCUACUGUCCCUAUCUACUAUCUAGCGAAACCACAGCCAAGGGAACGGGCUUGGAAUAAUUAGCGGGGAAAGAAGACCUUUUGAGCUUGACUCUAAUCUGGCAGUGUAAGGAGACAUAAGAGGUGUAGAAUAAGUGGGAGAUAUUAGACCUCGGUUUGGUAUCGUCAAUGAAAUACCACUACUCUUAUUGUUUCCUUACUUACUUGAUUAAAUGGAACGUGUAUCAUUUCCUAGCCAUUAUACGGAUAUAUUUAUUAUAUCUUAUGGUAUUGGGUUUUGAUGCAAGCUUCUUGAUCAAAGUAUCACGAGUUUGUUAUAUAAUCGCAAACAAAUUCUUUAAUAAAACGAUGCAUUUAUGUAUUUUUGAUUUGAAAAUUUGGUAUAACUCCAAUUACUCAGGUAUGAUCCAAUUCAAGGACAUUGCCAGGUAGGGAGUUUGACUGGGGCGGUACAUCUCUCAAAUAAUAACGGAGGUGUCCCAAGGCCAGCUCAGUGCGGACAGAAACCACACAUAGAGCAAAAGGGCAAAUGCUGACUUGAUCUCGGUGUUCAGUACACACAGGGACAGCAAAAGCUCGGCCUAUCGAUCCUUUUGGUUUAAAGAGUUUUUAACAAGAGGUGUCAGAAAAGUUACCAUAGGGAUAACUGGCUUGUGGCGGCCAAGCGUUCAUAGCGACGUCGCUUUUUGAUCCUUCGAUGUCGGCUCUUCCUAUCAUUGUGAAGCAAAAUUCACCAAGCGUUGGAU